GACGAACGCUGGCGGCGUGCUUAACACAUGCAAGUCGAACGGAAAGGCCCUGCUUUUGUGGGGUGCUCGAGUGGCGAACGGGUGAGUAACACGUGAGUAACCUGCCCUUGACUUUGGGAUAACUUCAGGAAACUGGGGCUAAUACCGGAUAGGAGCUCCUGCUGCAUGGUGGGGGUUGGAAAGUUUCGGCGGUUGGGGAUGGACUCGCGGCUUAUCAGCUUGUUGGUGGGGUAGUGGCUUACCAAGGCUUUGACGGGUAGCCCGCCUGGGAGGGUGAACGGCCACAAUGGGACUGCGAUACGGCGCAGACGGCUAUGGGAGGCAGCAGUGGGAAGUCUGACACAAUGAGCGCGAGCGUGAUGCGGCGGCGCUGCGUGCGGAAUGACGUCCUUCGGGUUGUAAACCGCUUUCGCCUGUGACGAAGCGUGAGUGACGGUAAUGGAUAAAGAAGCACCGGCUAACUACGUG
This 468-nucleotide ribosomal RNA is filed under the name uncultured bacterium. RNAcentral describes it as "partial 16S ribosomal RNA". It matches the Rfam family "Bacterial small subunit ribosomal RNA", at positions 28 to 507 of the family's 1533-position model. The record is from RNAcentral.